AGGGCGCAAGGUGAAUGCCUUGGCACUGGGAGCCGAUGAAAGACGUGGUAAGCUGCGAAAAGCUUCGGGGAGGAGCAAACAUCCAUUGAUCCGGAGAUAUCUGAAUGGGGCAACCCAAUGGAGUUCAUACUCCAUUAUCCAAUACUGAAUCCAUAGGUAUUGGAAGGGAACCGCCUGAACUGAAACAUCUAAGUAGGGCGAGGAAGAGACAUCAAACGAGAUUCCGUAAGUAGUGGCGAGCGAACGCGGAAGAGGGCAAACCGAGAGUAGAAAUACUUUCGGGGUACGGACUGCUUUUAAGACUCAAUCUGUUAACCGAACGGCAUGGGAAGGCCGGUCAGAGAGUGUGAGAACCACGUAGGUGAAAACGGAAAGAGCUGCGCAGGAUCCAGAGUACGGCCAGACACGUGAAACCUGGUCGGAAUACGGGGGGACCACCCUCCAACCCUAAAUACUACCCAGUGACCGAUAGCGUAUAGUACUGUGAAGGAAAGGUGAAAAGCACCCCGGGAGGGGAGUGAAAAAGAACCUGAAACCCUGUGCCUACAAGCACCUAGAGCGCGUCAAAGCGUGAUAGGGUACUUUUUGUAGAACGGUCCGGCGAGCGAUUGUAUGCAGCAAGGUUAAGGACUUAAGGUCUGGAGCCGAAGCGAAAGCGAGUUUGAAAAGGGCGUUAAGUUGCAUAUAAUGGGCCCGAAACCGGGUGACCUACCCAUGGUCAGGUUGAAGUGGAAGUAAAAUUCCAUGGAGGACCGAACCGACCUCCGUUGAAAAGGCGGCGGAUGAACUGUGGGUAGCGGAGAAAUUCCAAUCGAACCCGGAGAUAGCUGGUUCUCCCCGAAAUAGUUUUAGGACUAGCCUCAAGUUAGAUACCUGGAGGUAAAGCACUGAAUAGCCUAGCGGCCGAGAGGUUAGCGAAGCUUAUCAAACUCAGAAUGCCAGAGUAUUGAUGCUUGGGAGUCAGACAGUGUCAGAUAAAUGUCAUUGUCAAAAGGGAAACAGCCCAGAUCUACAGCUAAGGUCCCAAAGUCAGGUUAAGUGGAAAACGAUGUGAAGAUACGCAGACAACCAGGAUGUUGGCUCAGAAGCAGCCACUCAUUCAAAGAGUGCGUAAUAGCUCACUGGUCGAGCGUCUUUGCGCGGAGAAUUUAACGGGGCUAAACCUGACACCGAAGCUUAGGCAAUGCACGUAAGUGUAUUGGGUAGGGGAGCGUUGUAUACGCGGAGAAACAGUAGCGUAAGCGGCUGUGGAGUUUACAGAAGUGAGAAUGCCGGAAUGAGUAGCGCGAAUGUGGUGAGAAUCCACAUGGCCGGAAACCUCAGGUUUUUGGAGGAAGGUUCGUCCGCUCCAAGUUAGGCGGGAGCUAAGGUCAGGCCGAAAGGCGUAGCCGAUGCACAUACGGUUGAUAUUCCGUAACCAUCUGUAAUUUAAGCAAAGGGACACUUCAAAAGGGUGUGACCCGGGCGUUGGUUGACCCGGGCGUAAGGGACCGAAAUUAGAGUAGGGAAGCACACUUAGCUGAAGGCGAGAAAAGCUUUGCGUAUAGAAGCAGAUGCCCGUACCGCAAACCGACACAGGUGGACAGGAAGAGAAUUCUAAGGCCAGCGGGAGAAGGGUAGUUAAGGAACUCGGCAAAUUGACUCCGUAACUUCGGAAUAAGGAGUGCUCGAAAGAGCCGCAGAGAAUAGGCCCAGGCGACUGUUUAGCAAAAACACAGGUCUCUGCCAAAUCGAAAGAUGAAGUAUAGGGGCUGACACCUGCCCGGUGCCGGAAGGUUAAGAGGAGGAGUGAGAGCUCCGAAUUGAAGCCCCGGUGAACGGCGGCCGUAACUAUAACGGUCCUAAGGUAGCGAAAUUCCUUGUCGGGUAAGUUCCGACCCGCACGAAAGGUGUAACGAUUUGGGCACUGUCUCAACGAGGGACCCGGUGAAAUUGAAAUACCUGUGAAGAUGCAGGUUACCCGCGACUGGACAGAAAGACCCCAUGGAGCUUUACUGUAACCUGACAUUGGGUUUUGAUACAUUACGUACAGGAUAGGUGGGAGGCAUGGAAAGCUGGACGCUAGUCUGGCUGGAGCCGACGUUGGGAUACCACCCUUGAUGUAUUGAAAUUCUAACCGCGAGAGUAACGAAAUCCGGGACAGUGUCAGGCGGGCAGUUUGACUGGGGCGGUCGCCUCCGAAAGAGUAACGGAGGCGCCCAAAGGUUCCCUCAGCGCGGCCGGAAAUCGCGCGAAGAGUGUAAAGGCAGAAGGGAGCUUGACUGCGAGUCAAACACGACGAGCAGGUACGAAAGUAGGGCUUAGUGAUCCGGUGGUACCGAGUGGAAGGGCCAUCGCUCAACGGAUAAAAGCUACCCUGGGGAUAACAGGCUAAUCUCUCCCAAGAGUCCAUAUCGACGGGGAGGUUUGGCACCUCGAUGUCGGCUCAUCACAUCCUGGGGCUGAAGUCGGUCCCAAGGGUUGGGCUGUUCGCCCAUUAAAGUGGUACGCGAGCUGGGUUCAGAACGUCGUGAGACAGUUCGGUCCCUAUCUGCCGUGGGCGCUGGAGAACUGAGGGGGGCUGCUCCUAGUACGAGAGGACCGGAGUGGACGCAUCACUGGUGUUCGGGUUGUCAUGCCAAUGGCACUGCCCGGUAGCUAAAUGCGGAAGAGAUAAGUGCUGAAAGCAUCUAAGCACGAAACUUGCCCCGAGAUGAGUUCU
This 2701-nucleotide ribosomal RNA is filed under the name human gut metagenome. RNAcentral's name for it is "bacterial LSU rRNA". It matches the Rfam family "Bacterial large subunit ribosomal RNA". The record is from RNAcentral.